Molecule: small nuclear RNA, 107 nt
Filed under: Castor canadensis (American beaver)
Lineage: Eukaryota; Metazoa; Chordata; Mammalia; Rodentia; Castoridae
Source: RNAcentral
AUGCUUGCUUCAGCACCAUAUAUACUAAAAUUGGAAUGAUACACAAAAGAUUAGCAUGGCCCCUGCACAUGGAUGACAUGCAAGUUCAUGAAUCAUUCCACAUUUUU